This 72-nucleotide transfer RNA is filed under the name Phrynosoma platyrhinos (Desert horned lizard). RNAcentral's name for it is "tRNA-OTHER". It matches the Rfam family "tRNA". From Rfam's summary of the family: Transfer RNA (tRNA) molecules are approximately 80 nucleotides in length. Their secondary structure includes four short double-helical elements and three loops (D, anti-codon, and T loops). Lineage: Eukaryota; Metazoa; Chordata; Lepidosauria; Squamata; Phrynosomatidae. The record is from RNAcentral.
CCCAGUGUGGUGUAGUGGUUUGAGCAUUGGACUAUGACUCUAGAGACCAGGGUUUGAAUCCCUGCUCAGACA